Molecule: non-coding RNA, 45 nt
Filed under: Trichobilharzia regenti
Lineage: Eukaryota; Metazoa; Platyhelminthes; Trematoda; Strigeidida; Schistosomatidae
Source: RNAcentral
AUCCAGAUGACGAAUCCCAAAUAGGACGAAAUGCGCGUCCUGGAU